AGCAGCCGCGGUAAUUCCAGCUCCAAUAGCGUAUAUUAAAGUUGUUGCAGUUAAAAAGCUCGUAGUUGAAUUUCGGGAUCAAAUUGUUGGUCGUGCCUCGGUACGCACUGGUAUUAUUGGUUCCUACCUUCUGAAGAAUCGCGAUGUCAUUAAUUUGGUGUCUUGGGAAAUCAGGACUGUUACUUUGAAAAAAUUAGAGUGUUUAAAGCAGGCUCGCGCUUGAAUACAUUAGCAUGGAAUAAUGAAAUAGGACGUUUGAUUCUAUUUUGUUGGUUUCUAGGAUCGACGUAAUGAUUAAUAGGGAUAGUUGGGGGCAUUAGUAUUCAAUUGUCAGAGGUGAAAUUCUUGGAUUUAUUGAAGACUAACUACUGCGAAAGCAUUUGCCAAGGAUGUUUUCAUUAAUCAAGAACGAAAGUUAGGGGAUCGAAGACGAUCAGAUACCGUCGUAGUCUUAACCAUAAACUAUGCCGACUAGGGAUCGGAUGAUGUUAAU
This 493-nucleotide ribosomal RNA is filed under the name uncultured Glomus. RNAcentral's name for it is "SSU rRNA". It matches the Rfam family "Eukaryotic small subunit ribosomal RNA", at positions 569 to 1067 of the family's 1831-position model. Lineage: Eukaryota; Fungi; Glomeromycota; Glomeromycetes; Glomerales; Glomeraceae. The record is from RNAcentral.